AAUAAUCCUUUGUUUUAUUUGAUUUUUAUUCCUCGAAUUAAAAUGUUUAAAAUACCAAAAUGCUUGGAGGAGUUGGUUUUUGUGUUAAUUUUUAAUACGAAAAUAUUUACAAACUUACUCGCAAUAGACAAUACUCAUCUUAGAAGGUGCCGUAAAAACCAAAAGAUCCAAAGGAAGGAUCUUCAAGAAGGGACGAAGAGGUUCGAAUGUGCUCAAGCAAACAAGCCAAACAUUAAAGCCUAUAUUGUUCGUGUCUCCAAUCGAAUUCGAAGAAGUAAAUUUAAAGAACAUUGUAAAGAACCUGCAAAAAAAUGUUCACCAAAUCAUUUACAAAGUAUUGUCAGAGAAAAGGAUGUCAAAUUCAAAAAAAAAAGACUGAUAGUCUUUUAAAAAUCGGCUGCUGAUACCAUCAAGAGACUUUUUGUUGUGAACUCCCGAGAUAAAAAAUUGUGAAAUUGUUAAUAGAAUUAGUCUGAAUCGUGCCAUCCUUAGAUCAGUCUUAACCCAUCAUAAAAGACAGACUUGGUCAGUAUGGGUAUAUUGCGAGGUACUAAUUUGAGGUCAAAAAAUGUGUUUGCAUGGGAACAAAAAAAAAGAAACAAACGUGGAAUAAUAUCAUCAAAUAUUACAAAUAUUCCAUACCAAAAAUAUACAAAAUCACUUAAUCCCUUUAUAACAAAAAAACAAAAAUCAUUUUUCUUCGAUAAAUGUUUGCGAUAAAAACAAAUCAUAUCUGGAAAUAUUUUAAAAUUCCAUUUCAUUCAAAAUGUCAAUCAACAAAAUUUGAACGAAAUUGGUUCAGUUUUAAAGGUGUUCGCAUAAACGGAAAGAACAAACAAAUAAGGCUCAUUGUUCGAGGUUAAAUUGGUUGAAAUCAAUUUCAAAUGCAUUGCUCUAGAUUUACAUAAAAACAAAAAUCAAUAUGACCAGAUAACACACUAACGAACAUGUAAAAUAUUUAUAUUUCAUAGAAUAACUGUCGAUUCAUAUUUUUAUGAUUUAAAAAAAAAAGGU
Episyrphus balteatus (marmalade hoverfly) is the source of this 1014-nucleotide long non-coding RNA. RefSeq lists it as uncharacterized. Lineage: Eukaryota; Metazoa; Arthropoda; Insecta; Diptera; Syrphidae. The transcript has 3 exons. The record is from RefSeq and is a predicted model, not a curated record.